UUUAUGGAGAGUUUGAUCCUGGCUCAGGAUGAACGCUGGCGGCGUGCCUAAUACAUGCAAGUCGAGCGAACGGACGAGAAGCUUGCUUCUCUGAUGUUAGCGGCGGACGGGUGAGUAACACGUGGAUAACCUACCUAUAAGACUGGGAUAACUUCGGGAAACCGGAGCUAAUACCGGAUAAUAUUUUGAACCGCAUGGUUCAAAAGUGAAAGACGGUCUUGCUGUCACUUAUAGAUGGAUCCGCGCUGCAUUAGCUAGUUGGUAAGGUAACGGCUUACCAAGGCAACGAUGCAUAGCCGACCUGAGAGGGUGAUCGGCCACACUGGAACUGAGACACGGUCCAGACUCCUACGGGAGGCAGCAGUAGGGAAUCUUCCGCAAUGGGCGAAAGCCUGACGGAGCAACGCCGCGUGAGUGAUGAAGGUCUUCGGAUCGUAAAACUCUGUUAUUAGGGAAGAACAUAUGUGUAAGUAACUGUGCACAUCUUGACGGUACCUAAUCAGAAAGCCACGGCUAACUACGUGCCAGCAGCCGCGGUAAUACGUAGGUGGCAAGCGUUAUCCGGAAUUAUUGGGCGUAAAG
RNAcentral lists this ribosomal RNA (582 nucleotides) under Staphylococcus aureus. RNAcentral's name for it is "bacterial SSU rRNA". It matches the Rfam family "Bacterial small subunit ribosomal RNA", at positions 1 to 565 of the family's 1533-position model. Lineage: Bacteria; Bacillati; Bacillota; Bacilli; Caryophanales; Staphylococcaceae. The record is from RNAcentral.